This 466-nucleotide ribosomal RNA is filed under the name uncultured bacterium. RNAcentral's name for it is "bacterial SSU rRNA". It matches the Rfam family "Bacterial small subunit ribosomal RNA", at positions 28 to 507 of the family's 1533-position model. The record is from RNAcentral.
GACGAACGCUGGCGGCGCGCUUAACACAUGCAUGUCGUGCGGUGUCGAAGGCAAGUCUUACGACAAGCCUUCGACACAGCGGCGAACGGGUGAGUAACACGUGAGUAGCUGUCCUAAGGAGGGGAUAACGCCUGGAAACGGGUGCUAAUACCCCAUAUGCCUCGCAAGAGGUGAAAGUGUACUUGUUACAGCCUUAGGGUGUGCUCGCGGCCUAUCAGCUAGUUGGUGAGGUAACGGCUCACCAAGGCUAAGACGGGUAGCCGGCCUGAGAGGGUGUACGGCCACACUGGAAUUGAGAUACGGUCCAGACUCCUACGGGAGGCAGCAGUGGGGAAUCUUGGGCAAUGGGCGAAAGCCUGACCCAGCGACGCCGCGUUGGGGAUGAAGCCCUUCGGGGCGUAAACCCAUGUUGUAGGGGACGAAGAAAGUGACGGUACCCUACGAGAAAGCCCCGGCCAACUACGUG